Molecule: ribosomal RNA, 128 nt
Filed under: uncultured eukaryote
Lineage: Eukaryota
Description: partial small subunit ribosomal RNA
Rfam family: Eukaryotic small subunit ribosomal RNA
Source: RNAcentral
CCCUGCCUUUUGUACACACCGCCCGUCGCUCCUACCGAUUGUGUGCACAGGUGAGGACUAGGGAGCCCCGAUGUAGGGUAGUUUCUACCCCACUUUGGGACGAACUUGUCCAAAUCUUUUCACAUAGA